Molecule: long non-coding RNA, 449 nt
Filed under: Glycine max (soybean)
Lineage: Eukaryota; Viridiplantae; Streptophyta; Magnoliopsida; Fabales; Fabaceae
Description: long non-coding RNA (GMAX_LNC002978)
Source: RNAcentral
UGUUUUUAAUGUUAUCUCUUUGUUACAAGCUUUUGCUCAAUAAGGACAUAAAUGAAUCAACUCAAUAUUUCUUCAACAAUUGAUGGAGCUGAAAUAAAAUCAAUCCAUAAGAAAAGUUAACAAAAUGAAUGAAUUUCAAUACGGUUAAAAUAAUUAAAAACCAACCAACAUCAUAACAAUAAAAAAAUGGAAUAACCCCACCAAAAACAAGCUUUUUGGCGUUAACAUCAACAAUAAAAAGGCAAAAAAAAAGGUGAGUAUAGGGAUGAAGUCAUUAAGUAUUGACAUAUAUAUAUAUAUAUAUAUAUAUAGAGAGAGAGAGAGAAAAUUACCAUGCAAAAAAGACAAAAAUAUGCAAUAAAAGAAGUCUCCUUCUUGCGAUUAUUUUUCUUGUGCAUAGGGAGGAAAUGCAAUGUUUGUUGAGAAGGGGGUGAUAGGUAAGAGCAAAU